UACGGAGGGUGCAAGCGUUAAUCGGAAUUAUUGGGCGUAAAGCGCGCGUAGGCGGCAGUGCAAGUCGGAUGUGAAAGCCCCGGGCUCAACCUGGGAAUUGCAUUCGAUACUACACAGCUUGAGUGUGGUAGAGGGAAGCGGAAUUCCGGGUGUAGCGGUGAAAUGCGUAGAUAUCCGGAGGAACAUCGGUGGCGAAGGCGGCUUCCUGGACCAACACUGACGCUGAGGCGCGAAAGCGUGGGGAGCAAACAGG
This 253-nucleotide ribosomal RNA is filed under the name uncultured bacterium. RNAcentral's name for it is "partial 16S ribosomal RNA". It matches the Rfam family "Bacterial small subunit ribosomal RNA", at positions 524 to 776 of the family's 1533-position model. The record is from RNAcentral.